UACGCAGGUGGCGAGCGUUGUCCGGAUUUACUGGGCGUAAAGAGCGCGCAGGCGGUCGUUCAAGUCGCGUGUGAAAGCCCCCGGCUCAACUGGGGAGGGUCACGCGAUACUGAUCGACUCGAAGGCAGGAGAGGGAAGUGGAAUUCCCGGUGUAGUGGUGAAAUGCGUAGAUAUCGGGAGGAACACCAGUGGCGAAGGCGACUUCCUGGCCUGUUCUUGACGCUGAGGCGCGAAAGCUAGGGGAGCAAACGGG
This 253-nucleotide ribosomal RNA is filed under the name uncultured bacterium. RNAcentral's name for it is "partial 16S ribosomal RNA". It matches the Rfam family "Bacterial small subunit ribosomal RNA", at positions 524 to 776 of the family's 1533-position model. The record is from RNAcentral.